ACUCCUACGGGAGGCAGCAGUGGGAAUAUUGCACAAUGGGCGCAAGCCUGAUGCAGCCAUGCCGCGUGUAUGAAGAAGGCCUUCGGGUUGUAAAGUACUUUCAGCAGUGAGGAAGGUAGUGUAGUUAAUAGCUGCAUUAUUUGACGUUAGCUGCAGAAGAAGCACCGGCUAACUACGUGCCAGCAGCCGCGGUAAUACGUAGGGUGCAAGCGUUGUCCGGAUUUAUUGGGUUUAAAGGGUGCGUAGGCGGGCUAUUAAGUCAGUGGUGAAAUCCAGCAGCUUAACUGUUGAUGUGCCAUUGAUACUGGUAGUCUUGAGUACAGAUGAGGUAGGCGGAAUUGACAGUGUAGCGGUGAAAUGCAUAGAUAUUGUCAAGAACUCCGAUAGCGAAGGCAGCUUACUGGGCUGUAACUGACGCUGAUGCACGAAAGUGUGGGAUCAAACAGGAUUAGAUACCCUGGUAGGCUCUG
Molecule: ribosomal RNA, 470 nt
Filed under: uncultured bacterium
Lineage: Bacteria
Description: bacterial SSU rRNA
Rfam family: Bacterial small subunit ribosomal RNA
Source: RNAcentral